Molecule: long non-coding RNA, 31151 nt
Filed under: Ananas comosus (pineapple)
Lineage: Eukaryota; Viridiplantae; Streptophyta; Magnoliopsida; Poales; Bromeliaceae
Description: long non-coding RNA (ACOM_LNC021613)
Source: RNAcentral
AGCUAGAAGUGUAAGUUAUCGCUAAAAGUAUGGAUAUAAAACGAAUUGGGCUGAAAUACCAUUAAUAGUAUUCGGCUUUUUUUGCUAUUAAGUUUUUAACCAUUGGAUGAAAAAUUAUAGGGUUUAGUAGUGGUCCCCCCUAGGGUUGAGUGAGUGGUUAGUUGAAUAGUAUGAUCUAAAAGAUAAGACUAAUUAAAGUGUAGAUCUAACGAUUAAAAAAUCGAUAGCAAAAGAGCCCAAAUACUAUUAAUAAUAUUCUAGUUCAACUUGAUAUCAAGCAGCCUAUUCUUUUUAGGGGCUAAAUUAUAAAAAGCCCUCUCGAAAUCUACCACUUAUCUUAAAAUUCCUCAUGCAUAAAAAAUUACAUCAAUUAUCUCUAUACAUUUUGUCGUUAUCUUAAAUAAAUCCACCUAUUUGGAAUAAUUGUUGAAUUUAACUAUAAAACUUUAUAAAAGUACAUUUGCAGAUAAAAUUAUGUGUAAGUAAUGCAAAAGAAUCAUAAAAGUUGAAUAAAUUGCUAGAUAAACUAUCAUUUUUUAUAGUAUUAGAAAAAUAGAGGAUCUCAUUUAUCUAAAUUUUUUUUUUUUUUUUUUGAGUUGCAAGUUGGAUAUUUACUGAGAUGUGAAACAAUAUGAUAUGCUAACUCGUUUUAGUUAAGUUUUACAGCUUAAUUUGUUAGUUCUUUAAUUUUUUGGAUCUAUUUGAGAUGAAGACGAAAUAUAGGAUGGUAAUUAGUACAAUUUUUAAUACAAGAGGAUAAUUGAGGCUGAGGUUAUAACGCACAAAAUUUUUUUUGUAAAAUUUAGUUUUUUUUACCACAUCUUUUAGUGCAGCAUAAAAUGCUAUUCUGAAAAUCAGACCAAAUAUACACAAAGUAACAGUUCACAUACACAAAGUAACAGUUCACAUUUUCUAGAAGAAUUUAAAUGUAAAUGCUCUUUUAUGUUUUUAUUAGAUACAACAUAAUAUGCCCAAUUUUGCAUUUUUUAUGUCAUCCAAAGGCAAAGCAAGGAGCAUCAUUCAACACAGCCAAGAUAUAUUUGAUAGUGGAGCUGAAAAACCCAAAAAAGGAAAAAAAGAAAAAGAAAAGAAAAGAGAGGAUGAAAAAACAAAAAAUAAAAAGAAAAAAAGAAAAGGACAUGCAUGACUUGAUUCCUUGGGAGGUGGAAACUGUGGCCACCAAUCUCAUGCUGCCCCCUCUUUUGUCCUCACAUUGCUGAAAUUUUAUGCAACCCCAUCACUUCCCAAGAGCAGUCUUCAGUCUUCACCAAACACCCCUCCCCCACCUCCCCUCCCUCCCUCCCUGCUUUUCUUUCUUUGGGCUUCUUCUCUACCUUUCCCCUACUGCUUUUUUGGCUUUACCACUACUUUUUAUUUACUCAGCUUCAACUUUUUCCUUCUCCUCUUAACUCUAACUCUCUCUCUUUCUACAUUACUCUCUCCUCCUCCUCUCUUUUGCCCCUUCUGUCUCUCUCUCUCUCUCUCUCUCUCUCUCUCUCUCUCUCCAGUAAUGCUCCCUCCUCCACCUCCAUCUCUUGAGGAGGAGAUUACUUAGAAAGAAAUAACUUCAAUGGCUACAAGGGUUAUUAGGGCUGAUCAUGGCCUGCUCCUCCUCUUCUCUCUCCUCCUAUCCCUUCAGUCUGCUUGCUCUUCAGGUCAGUACAUCACUCAUUCUCCUCUCCCUUCCUUUCCCUUUCUUUCUGUUGCAUUUUUUUUUUCUCUUAUUGAGCUACAAACAACAACAACAACAACAAAAGACAAGAAGAGACAAAGAAAGAGAGUUUCUCAUUUACUCCUCUUUGAUAGCUACUUUAAGAUUGGCAUAAACCACUUUCCCCUUCUGAUAUACCACAACUGUUUCAGAAUCUCAGUUUCAUUUUUCAUUUUCUUCUUUCUUUGGUGUUUCCAGGAGCCUUUGUGGGAUUUUCAUAUGAUGCAAGGGAAGAGAGCCCUCAAUCUUCUUCACCUUCACCCACAGAAGCACUAUCUUUCCUCCACAAGAACAGACUCUCCCCUGCUCAGUACAGAAUCUUCCUCACAAACCCACAACCCUUCUUACAUCCACUGUCCAAAUCUGCUGUCCCUGUUGAUCUGUUUCUGAAACAGUUUGACACUCAAAAACCAUCAGAAGCAAAUGCUUUAGCUUCCUCAUGGCUAGCAACCCACCUCAUAAGCACUCUCCCCUAUCUUAACAUCACCAACAUCAUAGUAAUCCCCAAUGAGAGGGCCCUCCCUUCACUCCUCCACACCCUGAACUCACUCUACUCCUCCCUCAAAGCCUUCGGCCUCGACCGGGCCGUAAAAAUCUCAGCGAUGUUCUCCCUCUCCACCCUCGAAACCGUUGGGAAAACUCGGAACAAGGAUUUUCGGAGAGCCGUGGAAUUUGUAAAGAAGAAUUCGGGGUCGUUUGUGCUGAUAGAGACCUUCGUGGAUGGACAACUGAGCUUAUCUGAUGGGUUUGUUCAAUCCACUGCACAAAGGGCCAUAACUGCUUUGAGUGCUCUAUCCAACUUAGAAGACACCAUUCCCUUAGUUUUCAAUGUGAAGAGCUAUGUUUCCCCAAGUGAAGUAGAAGUAGCUCAAUUCAGCGAAAAAAUGAAAAGGUCUUUAGAUAUGUAUCCUGUCAUAAACAAAAGGGUUUGGGGUUUUUAUGUGGAUGUAUCUCAUGUGGGGGAAACUCGGAAGGAAAUACUAAAUUGGGAGGAGCAACUGAUUUUCCCUUCUUCUCAUAGAGAGCUGCUGCUUCUUGACCAUGAAAAGAGUACGACGGUCCGCGACACUUAUGCUCCGAUAACAAACCCCGUCACCACCACGCCCAUCACUGUCCCUUCCACGAACCCAUCGCCGGGGAUAGUGACCGUCCCUUCGACCAAUCCUGUCACUGUUCUUCCCACUAACCCUUCCACGACACCUAUCACAAUCCCUCCCACGAAUAAUCCGAUGCCGAUGCCGACACCGACACCUGCAACCACUCCAGUGCCAGUCACAAACCCUUACCCUACGCCGAUGACCACUCCCAUCGUGCCCGUCACGAAUCCAGCGACGACUCCAACGAUGGUUCCUGUGACCAAUCCUGUUACGACUUAUCCUUAUACGCCGCCAGGGGUUUACACGCCGACUUAUCCAUAUGCGCCGGCCGGGGGUUACGUGCCGUCCGUAACGCCGCCUGUCACUGUGCCGAGCACCAUGCCGGUUACACCUGCAGUAGCAGGUCAGACUUGGUGCGUGGCGAAGACCGGUGUGCCGGAUUCGGCACUCCAAUUGGCACUGGAUUAUGCCUGUGGGAUUGGGGGUGCGGAUUGCUCGGCGAUCCAACCGAUGGGCAGCUGCUACAACCCCAACACGCUUCAGGCUCAUGCAUCAUACGCAUUCAAUAACUACUAUCAGAGGAAUCCUUCACCAACAAGUUGCGAUUUUGGAGGGACGGGGAUGAUCGUCAAUGUUAAUCCAAGUAAGAAAACACUUGCAAUUUGAGCAUCCUUUCUUGAGUAUGAAACCGAAGCUUUUGCAGAAGUGUUGUCACGUACAACUGUUCGAAGAAGCAAUAAUAGCUUUUCCAUUGAUAUCCUCCCCAACAGCUGUAGCAGAAGCCGGAGCUUUAAACUAUAGCUGCUGCUUUUGGGUUUGAAAAACUCAUUUCAAUUUCGAGGUAGAAAAAAAAAAUUUAGGGUUUUUUGCUAAGAAAUUGAUCUCUGGAACUUUUUGCAGGCUCAGGGACAUGCAUUUAUCCAACUUCAAGGUAAACACUGCUAUGAAAAAGCAAUAUCAUAUACUAUAAAUGCUGUCUAUUCAACAUGCAUAACAUGACCUUCCUCACCUCUUGCAUUCGCAGCGGGGUCUCUGGCUAUAAUCCUACAGCCACUACUCCUGGUUUUACUCCUGCUUCAAGUUAUGGUUCGACUCCUGGUACAAGUUCUGGUUCGACUCCUGGUACAAGUUCUGGUUCGUCGGUGUUGAACACUAACAACUCGGGCUCGAGCACAGUAUACGGGUCGGACAACCCAACAGGCGCCGGCAGCAACUCAUUGUCUCGCUACGCUGGUUGGACCUCCUUAUAUUUUGUGAUCACCUUAGCCUAUAUCAGAGGUAGGCUCUAAGUUAGAGUGUGAGCUAAUUCAGGUGCCGAAAACGGAAUGAUGGGUAGAUUGAGAACAGCUUCCUAGUGCUAGUUCUAUGAUAGUUAGAGUAAUAUUCAUAUACAAUGAGUUGUAAAGAACAAAUUUGAUGUGUAUAUGGACUAAGUAGAUGAGUAGAGCUUGAGAGUGCCUCUCUUGUAGAACUUUGUUGAUGCUUCAUUUCGGAGAUGUAAAUCAGCUUUAUGAAAAGGUGAAAAAAACAAAAUAUUUAUGGAUGCACAGAGAAAUGAAGUGUAACAAUGGUACCUGUCAACCUGAAGAAGGAUGCUAGUUCCGAUCAGAAGAGUUAUCUCCAUUGCCAAUUGCCAUGGCUGCUGUUAGUAUUUGUCAUCCCCGUCUCUUGUUUGUGGUUCUGUUUCUGUACAUCUUCUGGACCAUAAACACUAACAGAUCACUUUGGACAAUCACUUCUAUAGAUAUGAGAACACAGAUACCAUUGCCCUACUGGCUUUUCUUCGAGAGAAAAGAAAGAAAACAAAACAGAAAAAAUAAUAAUCAAUGCAAACUCAAGCACCAGGUGUCUGCCAAUUCUUGUUAUCUCUUCACAACCAGUUUAAACUGUAUUCAGAUAUACAAGCUUGAAUCACAAUGUAGAGGAAAAGUAAGAUAAAAUUCUAAUACAUCUUCAAUAUAGAUAGAUAAAUUUGUACUGUGAAUUAUACUAGCUCGAUUACCGUGGGAUGCAACCAAUUAGACUGCAUGAUUCCACCAUGUAAUAAAGUAACAAAUAUUUGGAGAACCUAAAGAUCAUACAAGAUGAGAUUUAGAAGGAAUGAAUUAGCACAAUAUUACCUUUACAUAAUGCAUGGUAUUAUAUGGUUGACAUUUCGUGCCCUUUAUAAAAGGAAGAAUUGUUUCAACUAGUAAAAGUAAAACCUUUCAUUUGAGGGCACAAGAGCUAGACAGAGAAUACAUAUUGAGGAAUUUGUUAUGGAUGUUCGAUACUAAAUUUCCAAAAUCUAUACAUGUUUUAUUCCGUGGGUACAACGCAGUCGAAAUUAUAUCUACAUGAGCGACCAAAUAUGUUUACCACUAAUCUGAAAUAUAAUACGAGAGAUUACAACAGCGGGAUGCUUUAAUAUACAGAACAAUAAGAUCUAAUAAAGAAGAGAUGAUUAUGAAACCAUUACUUUUCUAAUAGAAGAUCUAUUAUGAUAAACUUCAUCUAAUCACUGAGAUCAUCAUCGAGAAAGUUAAGAUCACCACCAUCUUCGUCACUAGCAGUAGCCAUAGAAGCAGGAUGAACCUCUAAGGACUCGACUACUUCAGGCAAAGGUAUACUGCUUGUAUGAGGUUUCCUUGACGUUGCAUCUAAAUGCAUAUUCUCGUUUACUUCCUUUAAGUAGGGCUCUUGUUCCGUUUCAUUAUAAAGAGUCUCCUACAUUCACAACAGGCAAUCCGAUCAAUCGAUAUAACAAAAACAAGUGAAUCGAAUUAAAGAAUAAAGAUACUUCUACAUGUAUAUAACUGCAAAAUCAUACAUCUAUGUACAUAUUCUUGUAAAAUAUCAAUUUUCAUAUAUGUUCCUUGAAACUGCAGUUGUUUACAACAAUAUCCUUAUCUUACGUUGAGAAGUCUCCAAAUUAAUGGGCGAAAGUUGGUUUUUUUUAAUUAGCAUUUUUGUAUAUUUUUAAGAGAGGCAUUUUUAACUAAACGCUAUAUGUGGAAGACAUUAAGUUUUUGGAGGGUUUGCAGUUAUAUACAUUAAAAAAUAUACCUCGCCUCCUGGAGAAGCUGCUUUGUCAAUCUCAACAACCCAGCUUUCCAACAAUCUCUCUAGUAGAGCAUUGUCAAGGGAAAUUGAACAAUCAUCUGUCCUGUUAAAUUGCCAUUCGCGAAGACGUAGGUUGUAAUGGGUGUAAGUAAGAUCCUUUAAUCUUUUUUGGGCUAUACGAUUGCGUCUAGUAGUGUGAAUUUGAUCAAAGGCACUCCAGUGGUGUUCGGAACCACGAGAUGUACAUGUCUGGCUCAAUAUGCGAAUAGCAAUUCGUUGCAACUCGAGGCAAUUGAUUCCAUGUUGUUGCCACCAGGCAGCUGUGAUUGAAAAAACAUAUCAAAAAAGAAAAAUUGAUGCCUGGUUUAGCAUUGCAAUCUAAAUUGUUGAAAGUUUGCAAUCCAUAUUAGUCAAAUAUGAUUACCUGGAUCCAGCUCCAUCCUUGUACUCAAAGCCAGAUCGGUUCCAAAAUCAGCUUUUGCAAAAACAAAAUCUGAAAUCUAAGAUAAAUAAGAUGACAAAUAGAGUGCAUUAAAAGAGGAAGAGAAAAGAAACCAAGGAAGCUUCUCGGCAAAAUGAAUAAUAAGAGCUGAACAAAGGAAAUCUCCCUACAGAAUAUCAUGAUUUUACAUUGUUCCCCUUGAAAUACUAAAACAUACAUUUUGCCCACUUUGACCUGUAAGCUAAGUGAUAGAUCUUGCCUCAGAGAACACUCACAGAGAGCAAAGGAGUGAAAUAUUGUAGUUUCGAGGGUAAUAUAUAUAGGUUUCAGCAUUCCACCCACGGGAGCUGGUUUGAAAAUUGGGAUAUUCAACUUAGCCAUUACUAAAUUUCACAAUUCAAACAAUGUGAGUACCUGGGAAGCAGCAGAAACUCUCCUUACAUUAUCCGAUUCAAGUCUAGUUAUGCAUUCAUUCAAGCCACGAAUAACCUCAGGAAGCUACAAAUUAGAUCAUGAAAAAUGAGAAUUAGGUGCAACAUCACACCAUAUCAAGAUGAAACAUUCACUUGAAAAAGAAAAAGGUAAAAGAAAAAGGUAACAUUCAAUGCUUUAAGCAUACCGCCAUGAAGUCUGGUCGAUAUCUAAAGGACGGGUUCAAGAAGUAAGCAGCAACAUACAGAGGAUGGUUGAAAACAGCAUUCCAAUGACUGUCUAUUACAACCAAGAAAGGCCCAUACUUUCUCUCAUCAUCGCCAUGGACAGCUUUAAUAGACAGCUUAGCUCGGUACAUGUCAUUGUAUAUCGACGGCAUGGACAACCCUUCAUUGCUUUCCGCUUUCUUAAGUAUCUGCAAAACCGGGUCUACAGUUUUUUUCACAUAUUGAAUCUUCUUCCAGAAUGUGGGAUUAACCACAAUCUUUUCUACUUCUUUGCCCGCAUCUGAUUUGGACAAUUGGGAUGAUACCCAUUUGCUCGAUUGGAACAGCUUCUUAAGAGAAGGCCUUUGAUCUAGCAAGCUUUGCAAUGUAAGAAAAGUAGUUGCAAACUUUGUUAUUGAUAGUUUAAAGAGAUCCUUCCCCUCUGUGAAUUCUUCUUUCAUAAGGUUUGCUAGCCACACGCAAUUAUAAAUGUAUCGCGUAAUCUUUUGACCUUUUUCGAUGCAUUCUCUGACCCAUUUUAUCUCAGCAAAAUCCCCGAGAAUUUGAUUGAUGCAAUCCGCAGCAGAAGGCAUCCAGAAUAAGCUUCUUCUCUUCUCCUCUAGCAUCUUUCCAGCAGCUCUAUAAUAUGAAGAAUUUUCUGUGAUUACCUACGAUACGGAAAACUGCCAUUAGAGAGACUACAACAUUCUCAGAAAAAACAACAAGAGGCUCGGACAAUUUUCCAACAAUUUUAUGAAGGGUAAUGUAUGAAUAGUCCUUGUAUUGUCCCGAUAGAGUGACUUGUUCCCUGAACCUUUAGUCUCUAAACUUUCUGAAAAAUUGCGAUUUCAUCUGACUAUUCUAAUAUUUACUUGAAUCAGGGUUAAAAAGGUCAUUUUAUAGAGCAUAAACAAUGGAUUUUUCCCUCCCCCCCCCCCCCCCCCCCACUCUUAACAGUCCGAUAUGGAGUUGCAAUAUAAGAGAAAGUUUGGGACUAAAGAAACAAGUCACAACAUCGAGAUUUGUGCUAGUGCAAUUAACCUUUUAUGAGUAGUCUACUUAAAAGAGUAGAUAGAUUAUGAAAAUAAAUCUGGUACCUGCACCACAUUUGCCUCACCUACUUCCUCCACAACUUUGUCCAACAACUUGAAAAGAUGUGUAGCAUCUUUUACAAUGCGAGACACAUCUAUGGAGGAAACGAAGUACGUUCCUCUCGGGCAAGACACUAAGAAGUUGAUUAUCGUCCUUCCCUGCACAUCUUUCCAGCUAUCCCCUAUAAUACUGCAUCCGGUAGUAGCCCACGAAGCCUUAAUUUCCCCAAAGUAUUCUUUUAUUGUUUCCACUUCAUCAUUAAGUGAUCUAUUAGCAAGUAGUUUGCUUAUUGGGCUUUUAAUUCCAUGACCAUGUUGAGCAACUAAAUCUAGCAUCUUGUGGAAGUAUGCUGAAUCUGCGACAUUAAAAGGUAUAGCUGCAUAACAAAAGAAUUUACAAAUAGCAGAAAUUACUUCUUUAUGGCCUUUCUUAUCAGCCCCUCCCUUUUGUUUUGAAUGCUUAAAGGACAAAGAAUAGUUCCCUUUCUGGGAAGUGGCAUAGAGAGAGUCUGUAGUUAUAUUUCUAGACUUUUUCUUCAUAGCAUUACCACAAGAAACAUCUUGAUCGCCUACAAAAUUAUUUGCAUUAUUUCUUCCACCAGCAACUUCCUCCUCGUCAUUUUCUGUAUGCACGUAAAAUGCCGAAACUUCUUUUGUUUCUAUCCUUCGCCUUCUACCCGUUCGAUGCCAUUUCAUAUUUUCUUUCAUCUUUAGAUACACUUCCUCAGGAGCCAUUUUACAAUAUGCGACUUCUCCGGGAAUUCUCGCUAAAUGUUGCUUAAACCGGUUUAUACCGCCGCUAACUAUUUUCUCGCAAUAAUUGCAUUUUACCUUCUUUUUCUUUUCGUCUUGAGCAACACCAUGUUCCCAACCGGGGUCCACAUACCCUAACGAGCGAAGCGGAGUUAUAACCGUAGCUAAGCUUUGAUCAUUCACUUCCUUUCUUAAUUUCCUUUUAUAGUGGAUAGAGUUUUCCACAUCAUCAUCAUCAUCAUCAUUGGAGUGGACAUCGAAAGUGGGUUCCUUUUCUUUCUCUUCUAACUGCCGUUUUCUUGUAGAUCUAUAUCCUUCGAGAUUUUCUUUCAUUUUAAUGUACACCUCUUCAGGGGCCCUUUUGCAAUAUGUGACUUCACCAGAAAUUCUUGCCAAAUGUUGCUUCAGUCUAUAUAUUCCACCACUUACUAUCUUGCCGCAGUAGUUGCAUUUUACUUUCUUCUUCCUCUCGUCUUGAGGAACACCAUGUUCCCAUCCAGGGUCCAUGAAACCUGUUGACCUAAGAGGAGUCAUCUCUUCAACCAUUUGAAACUUGAGACAGGAGCUUAUACUUUUCGCCUUUCCACCAAGCUUCUGCAAUAGCAGUAACGUAAAUUAUGAACAGCCAAGAGAUACUUAUCCUAACAUAUUUUGUAGCAUUUUCAAAUAGGUAAAGAUGUUUGGAGAGUCUCCCUCUUUUUUUUUUUUUUUGCUCGAUUGACACCCCCGAACCUUUCACUAUUAUUUGUUUUAAGUUAUUCCCAUCAAUUAAUAUGAGGAUUCCACUGGAUUUAAGAGAGACUCCAUUGAUUUUAACAGCGCUUAAUGUUUUUCAAUAUGACAGAACAGCAGGUUCUGUCAACAGUUUGACCAUUAAUAGCUAAUGGCGCGCUAAAUUUCAAUGGAAUCUCCAAUUCAAGUGACGGAAAUAACUCAAUAAACGAGCAUUAAUUGAGAGGGUGCUAAUCCAAAAGAAAUAAACUGGUAGGUAUAAUUCGAAAUGGACUGUAGGUUAGGGCGUCCUAGUACAAUUUUACAUAUCAAAUGUUCACCAACGCAAGUAUCUUUUCAACUUUUUAGAAUUAAUCUUUCUUACUUUAAUUUUUACCAUGAAGAAGAUUUUUCCCUAUGGAUAAUCUAGAAAAGAAAAUUUACCAACACCAGAAUAGAAAAGAGAGGUAAAUUUACCUUGUCUGGCUAAUGAUAAUCCUUCGUCACGAUUCUGCCCUCAACUCAUAGAGAAUUAUGAAAUACAAAAAUUGAUAUAUUCUUGUGCAAUUGACUGCAGUUCAAUUUGAUAUUAACACCACAAGACUUGUCUAUCACGGCCCUAUCUUGUUAGACAGAAACGUGAUCCUUGAACCUAUUUAAAUUGAAAUUACAUAAUCAGUUUUGGAAAGGAUUAAUCAAAAGGCAAAACAAAAGGAAAAUGAGGAAAUACGACAAUAUGCUUAGUAUGUGAUCUAACACGGCAAUUUCGGACCUCUUGCUUAUCAUACACAGAAACGAAAAGAAAAAGGUAAAAAAGAACAACAACAAAGUACAAAUUCCUAAAUCACAGUUACAAUUAUAAGGCAACCAUGUUCACUAUUGUUGAAGCAUAUGAAAACUAUGUGGAAAAAUCAUCAAUGUAACUGAUGAAGAGGGAAUAUAAAAACAUUUCACUGAUUUCCAUUUGUGCAAGGAAUACCCUAAAUCCUGAUAUUAAGAGAAACUUAACACCGACCGCCAAUAGAUGUUUUGACAACCAAAAAAAAGAGGUUAGCUUCAUGAUUUUUUCUUUUUUUUUUUUGUUUCGAGAUGAUCUUCAUUCAUUAGAGUACAAAGUUACACAACUUUGAUUAAAGAGUAGAAAUGUGCGAAAAUAAAAAUAAAAAAAUUUCUUAAAUUCCAAAUACUGGCGAAAUUUGAACUGAACAUAAUUCCAGCUGCACUAAGUCCAGUUACUCAGAUGAAUCUACAUUAUCAAAUUACUAACUGCAUGAACCCUAAUUUCUGAUGUAAUUAACCUUAAUACUCACAUUAAUCAGAAUAUCAAAUUCCUCUUUGCAAUAACUCUUAUCUCUAAUUUAACAAGCCACAAUGAUUUCAAAUGAAAGAAGCAUAGAAAGCCACUGAAAUUACAAGUCCAAAUCUCAAAUUCCUAAAUGGUGCUACAAAUCGAACAUGCAAGCUACCCAACUACAAAUAUCCAUUAUAUAAGCAGUUCAUGCGAAUAGAUUCCACAAUUCCAUCAAUAGUCGAUUCAAACCGUAAACCCUAACACCAGCUUUUCAUACGCAACCCUCACCCUUGGUUGUAGGGGAUCGAACCUUAAAUCGAGAUUUUUUACCUCCAAUUAACGCACAAUUACCACACUAACCGCGAUCGGGGAGCGGAAAGGAGGGAUCUGAGGAUUACCCGAGUGGGAGCUCGAUCUCAUCCUCUUCACCUUCCGUGUCGCCGAGUUGUGUUCUUCGUCCCCGGCCCCCAUUCAUUGCUCGCGCGUUGACUCGGAACGAGAUUUAGCGCCGAGUCGGGGCCGGGGAAAAGCCGACUCGGAUCGAACCGGACUCGGCCGGUUCGACUCGCAACCCGGACGGGUUCGGAAACGACUCGGAACGAGAUUAUUUUUCCCAUUUCGAUAGGUCAACGGUCAACGCUCAAAAAGUUAAGAGAGAUUUUCAAAAAGGGCCUAUUUUGCCUAGCUUUUUAAAAAAUAAUUUUUGUAAAAGUGAUUUUGGUUGGAAAAAUUAAUUUUGGUGAAACUGUUUGAAGAAACUUUACAGUUUUUAGCUUCUAUAGCAUUUGUUGAAAUAUAUAUAUAUAUAUAUAUAUACAUAUAUAUAUAUAUAUAUAUAUAUAUAUAUAUUUGUUUAUUUAUUUAUUUAUUUAUUUAUUUAUAUAUAGAGUGAGAUUACUAUGCUAUCGGAAGCACGGAGCCUUCCGUGCUUCCAGCUCGUUUUCGAUGUUGCGACUUUCGAAUCGUCGAUCGGCUCCGUUAAACUUGAUCUAGAGUAUUUGAAGUACCUAGAAAAUAAAUUUUAUGAUUUUACGAUAUCAUUUGCCUAGUGAACGAAGGGGCUCAAAAUCAACGGCUGAAAAUAAAAAUCUUACAAAAUGUAAUAAUAUGACAUUAAAAUUUUAAAUCAAAGAUAUUGAUCUUGUUUUAUAUAGUAUAAAGAAUUUUCUAUCAAAAUUUCACAUGAUUUGAAUAUUUCUAUACCGUUAAACUUGCAAACGGCUCACUACGGCCAUUAAAAUUUGUUGAUUUUGAGGUCAUUCGAUCACUAGGCAAAUGAUAUCGAAAAAUAAUAAAAUUUAUUUUCUAGGUACUCCAAAUACUCUAGAUCAAGUUUAACGGAGCCGAUCGACGAUUCGAAAGUCGCAACAUCGAAAACGAACUGGAAGCACGGAUAGCAUAGUAGCCUCACUCUAUAUAUAUUUAUAUAUAUAGUUAAAUUGACUCUUAGUUGUUGUCUUGUUAUUUUCAGACAUAUGAAUAAGUUGUCUAAUCAUUAAUUCAUAAGACGAAAAAUGAUGAAGUUAAGUUCACUGAGAAAUUAAAAUUCAGCGACUCAGAUUGAUAAAAUUAUAAUGUAAUUUACUCUCUUAUUUAUUUAUCUAUUUAUUUAGUUAAGUUUCGCUUCCUCUGUGAUUAAAAAGCUUUUAAACUUUAAUUUACUUAAAACAUUUUAUUUAUUUGAAUUUGAAUUAAGUUUAGUUUCCAGAUUCCUGAGAUUAAACCUGGACAGAACCAGAGAGUUUAGAUCUGACAAUGUAGUUUCUGAGAUCAAACCAGAGCAGACAAUGUACAGAUGACGAAUCGAAUCGGUGACAGAGCUCUAUUGAACCAUCUAAUUUCGAAACCAAUAUCAGGAUUAGACAUUCCCGAACUCGACGCAAUCAGAUUGAGUAGAAAAUAGACUUAUAUAAAAAAGAUGAUAAAUAUGGUAAGUGAUACUGUACAAAUCUUCGGCAAUGUAAUUGAUACAAAUGUGUAUCUACCUUGUAAUUAAGACUAAAAUUUCAAAAUUUCGCAAAAUAACUGAACAAUUCAGAAUUACGCUUUGUUGCCAAAAUGUUCGCUAAUAAGUACUUAACCUGUAAUGUAACUAAAGAAUACAAAGUAAUAAGAACAAAUAAAGACUCAUGAAAUCUUUCGAGCUAUAUUUUUCAUCCCGGAUCCGACGCAUUUUAGUAUAACUGUGUUCGUACUCGUAUCGGGCUUGAUGACAAACUUAACUCCGAGAAAAUCCCUGAUAUUUCUAAGCGUUUCUAUGCCGUAGGGUGUGAGCGCUCCCACGCGAACCUUUGAUACAUCCGGCGGGCAUAGAGCACAAAGAAGAAAUAACAAGCCCUGAAAGAAAAAAAAAAAAAAUAUUGUUGUUAAAGAAAAUUAGUUGUUCACAAAUUAACCAGUUCACACCAAACUGGCCACCAAAUUUAUUCCCAAUUAGUCUCCCAAGAAGAUGAUUUAGCUGAAAAUAGUUUAGAGCAAAAAAUGUCGCCAUUCUCUCAAAAAGCUUCCUUGUCAAUGCAGGUGUUUCUGCAGCAUAUUAGAGUUAAAUUUGCAUCAAUUUGAAAUUAACCAAGUGAAAAGUAAAGAGGUUGGAAAGUGAAAUCAGACCUGGUGGGUAGAAUCAACUACUCCUCCCUGCUUGAUCUCUCCAAGCAAGAUAGAAGCAACUUCAAUACCAAUAUCCUCCGGAGUUUUAACUUCCGGCUUCUCCUCAGUGUCUUCAUCCAUUUCAUCCGCUUUUUCAGUACUUGCAAUAUCCGCGGAUAUCAAACAACCUGUAGUAGUCUCCGCAACCAAAGACAUGCCAUAUCCCGGUGACCUGCCGUAUCAUUCAGCUACUAGUUAGAUAAGAAGCCGAGACAUACCGUUGUAGCUAGAGCUUCCACUAAGGCUAUUUCGAAAUUGUUGGCAUAGCAAAAGUUCUAGUAUUUUCGCUAGACAAAAGCCUAAAAGAUGCCUCUCGGAGUCCAGAAGCAGUUUCGUAAGCCAAAGCAAACGACUAACAGAUGAGUCUUGGAGUCAAGCAAAUCAGAUGGUUUAACUCACAUGAAAUAAAUAAUACGCCCCGAAGGACAAAAGCAUAAUCUAUUCAUGAUGUUCUCUAAUAAAGCACUAGAUAAGACGAUAAAAAACAUAAAUCUGUACAAUUCCACAAUCUCAAGUACUAUUGUGACAUGUCGAAAACACCCAUAUUUUUUUUGGAUGAAAGAAAAAAAUCAAUUCAGGCGUCAGAUAUUACAUCCCUUGCUUGCUUGUGAAACAAAGACCUCAAACAACCAUUUGAUUUAGAGUUAAUACUUUAUUAUUUUCACAAAAUCAAGCACAAGGAUACACACAUAUAUAAGUUCAAAAAUUGAAUCCGAGAUUCUUUUUGUUUGUUAGGAAAGAAAAGCUAAUAUAAGAAGAAGAUAAAUAGCUAGUUAGAGUACCUUCCCCCAGCCGGACCAGAUCUAUGAUCGGUGAAGAUAUGAACAUCCGGUAUGAAGUUAUUGAAGACUCCACGUACAGCAUACACCAUACGAUUUCCAAUCUGAGGAGACACUCUCGUGGAGAAUGUUAUCCCUCUAAUUCUCUUAACCAUCCCUUCGUCCACCCAAUGCGUUGCCUGAUUGGCACAUUAGAUACUUUAAGUAAAAUCUUUUGGGAAAAGGUAAAUGAAAUAACUAUCAACAUGCCAUUUACACCCACCGUUAAUGUAUUAGGGAUGAUAGGAACUCGAAGAAGGACCUCUCCGCCGCCAAGAGGAGGAGCACCACGACUUUCUAUUUUCAGCUCCAGCCCUUCUAAAGGAACACCAAAGCGCCUAAGCAUAUGCAACGUGGUAGUCCGAAAGGUAUCGACAGACGGGUCCUUGGAAUCAUUAGUAAUUCCUGACGAGCGAAGCAUCAAAGUGGUGAUUCACAUGCAACGAGAAAAGCAAAGUCAAUUUGGAUUUUGUAUUGCAACACUUAUCUAUUUUAUGAACUAAAACUCGGCAGUAUUGAAUGGCUGAAUACUACCGAUUAAAGUAACAUGGAGAUCUACCAAAGUCAAUCUAUUUUUAAACCGUUCAAUCGCUCUUUUCUUUGUUCUCACUAAGCCUACUUAAUAGGAGAAACUUAAAUAAGAUUACUGUCGACAAGCGAAUUUGAAAUCUACCCUAUGAUGUCAAACGCCAAAUUUUAUGCUGGCCCGAUUCUCUGCACAAGAACAAUUACAAUCAAAUUGACCAAAGAAAAAAGGGGAAAAAGCAAAAUUUUACUCCCGAAAUUCCCUUUUUCCCUCCCUUCUCAUAAGUUUAAUUAAGCAACACAAAUAAAAAAAAAAAGACGAAUUAAAAGGAGAGAGGAAGAGAUAGAUCAAACCUUUGAGCCUAAUAGAGAGGGGCUUCUUCCCGAAAAGCCCCAAAAGUAUCAGCGGCUCGAGGAAGUACCCGAUCGAGCGGCUCAAACCGCAAUCGUGCACGAGAUUCUUUCCCCCGAUCAAAACUCCGGGCUUGUAUAGCAACUCCGUCCCUAAAUCGCCCCAAAAAAACACACCAAAACAAAAACGAAUCAAAGCUAGGGUUUUUGUUCAAAAUCGAGAAUCGAGAGGAAGGGAGAUGGGGGGAUCGAUCAGGAUUAUUACCGCUUUCGCCGAACUCGAUCAAGGAGUGGUCCGUGAUCUUCUCGAGGAGGCGGAAGAGGGAGACCUCGUGGGGUCGCAGCCCCGGGAAGGUGUCGUCGGAGUGGAUCUCCUUCACCACGAUCGGCGUCGCCGUGAGAGUCGCCAGCACCAGCCGCUGCCGAAGGUGGCGGCUCCCCCUCAACCUCAUGUACGUCGUCUUCCCCAUCCCUACCUCUCUCUCUCGAUCUCCGCGGCGGUGGUCGUAAAACCCUAAUGGAGAGACGUUCUACAGUGGAACUAGGGUUUUAGAAUUGCUCUGGCCCCAAUCCUAUGCAUUUAAAUAGCCGGUUUGAAGCCGCCAAAUCUUAUCUAAUAGAUUGAAUGAUAAACCGGUUCUCUAUUCUAAAGAGGGCUCGGGUUGAUUCGUUAACUAAUCAAAAACCCGUUAAUAUUUUUAAAAUUAAUUUUUCAAAAUUAUUUAAUAAGGCACUCAUAAUUUCCUAUUUGGUUUUAUAUUUCAUAAAAAAAAUAUAAAUUUUAAGUGCUACGAUUGCUCUCUUAUAUACAAAUUUCCUAUUUGAUUUUAUAUUUCAUAAAAAAAAUAUAAAUUUUAAGUGCUACAAUUGCUCUCUUAUAUACAGUAUAUAGGGGGCACGUUUGGUUCGAAGUCGAAAUCGGAAUUAGAAUUAGAAUCUAAAUCGAAAUCGAAAUAAAUUAGAAUCAGAAUCGGAAUGACUCAUUAUUUAAUUCUAUUUGGUUCGUCAGCUGCAUCGAAAUCGAAAUAAAUUAUUUUUAUUAUCGAUGUUUUAUUCAUAGAUAUAAAAUAUACUAAUUUUAUCUUUAUAAUAUAUUAAUUUAAAUUCAAAUUAAAAAUUAAAUAUUAAAAAUUUAUAUCAAAAUUUUGAAAUAAUAUCAAAAUUUUAAAUCUACUUUUUUAAAAAAAAUAAAUUAAAUUUUGAAGUUGAGCGGAUAGAAGAGUUAUUUUAAAGAGAGAACAACUGAUCUCUUAUUAAAACACUAAUAUCUAUAAUCUAACUCAGCAUAUUUAAGAGAAUUUAAAAUUUUACAGAGAUAAAAUUAACUCGGCAUAUUUAAGAGAAUUUAAAAAUCAGAAACGAAAACAAAAGAUCAACUUCUCAAACUGCUCUUAAGCAUUACUGCUUUGUAGCCGAACAAAAUUUCCAAUACAACAUAAAAAGAGCACAAUCUAACUCUUAUCUCUACUCAAAUCUCUCAAAAUUUCUAUGCAUCCAACUCAACCCCGGCCAUAGGGACAGUCCGGUGGUCGGCUUCAUCGUCGCUAUCUGCAUUGCCCUCCUCAGCAGAAUUGAUAUCACCAUCAGAACCCAGAUCUUUCAUCCUGUAAUCCACCUUGAAAUCAUAAUCGGCGUCCAUUUCAUUCAAUCUAUUCAGUUUGUUCGCCUUCCUCCGCGUCUUCUCGGCUCUUCGCUUGCGAGGAUCUAAUAUGCCCUCGGCCGUAUAUAACUUGUCGUUUUGCCUGCUUACACCGCUAGGCGCGGAUUCAAAAUGAGACUCAGCAUCGAGAGCCAUAGGCUCGUCCGUGUUCUCAGCAAUUUCAGUUUCAUUCUGCUUCGGGUUAUCCUGCAAAGAUCAAGAUAUAAGUUUCCUUGUUUCGAUUAUUGAUAUGUAAAAAGCAUCCGAAACUAUCUAUCCACAAAUAUCACCCUACAAAACCUGAAUUUCUGCAUCUGCCCUGCAAAAGUAAACUUAUCAAACAUAUACCCUGUUACUUUCAAGUUUUAACAACAAAACAUCUCUUCGAACACCAAAAUAAUAUUUCUAAUUCACUGUUGGAUUGACUCCCCAGCUAAAGAUAAUGAAUAUACAUUUGCAAGAGACUGAAGAUUUGAGGGGCGCGCAUUCCAAAAUCUAUAGGAUUAUGUAUGUAAAUAGAUGAUUUUACAGGCCUAGGUGUAAAUGCCUUUCUUUAUCGAGCACUAAAAAUUAACCAAGUAUAAGCUGCUGAGUACAUGGAAAAGAAAAAGAUCAUGGCAUACUUCCACUGCAUGCAUAUGAUAUCAAGAUACGAUGCAACUUUAUAUACAAUAUGUUCACAAAGCAUCAGAAAAGAAUUUGAUAAUCAGAAACAAUAAGCCCCUCUAUGACGAUAAACAUUCCUUAAAGCAAAAACCAUGGCAAUUGGUUUACCAUCCAAGGAAAAAAGUGAUUCCAGUCGUGAUACUCGUAUCUAGGAAAUAUGAUUUGUAUAGGUCAAUGUCACUAGAAAUUUCAUUUGAUCAGAGGAAUUUUUUUAUUUAAAAUAAAGGGGUCAAAGAACAAACCUCCUGUAGCAUUUGCUCAUCAAAUUGCGGAGGUGAAUGGGGAGGUACUUCAACAUGCCGGAAGUCCUCGACUGAUGCUAGGCUACCAAUAAAUGAGGAUUCGGUCUUGUACACUUCAUCAACGUCGAAUUCCUUCCCAAAUUCUGAAACAAUUACCGCAUCCAAAUUCGCCCCCUGAUCCCUCUUGGGAGGCUGUGUGUAAUAUGGAAUUUUACCUACCAACAUCAAAAGAAAAGGGAAAAAAAAAAAGGGUCAGCCUCGAGAGGAAAACAAAUCACGGAAAUCAGCAGAAUUACGAGAACAUAAAUGAGGAGAAACAUACCCUCGUUCCAGUCAUGAAGCACAAUUCUAGCUGCAGCUUCAAUGUUGACUACUCCACCCUUUUUCAACUUACCCCUAAUAGUAGCCACUUUCUGAAGGAAGUCAUCAACUGAGCUGAAGCUCGGCAAUUUGUACAAGGAUAGCAACUUCUCGGCUGGGCAAAGGUUGAGAAUCUCCUUCACUGCAAGAGUUUCAUAAUCACAGUACUAGGUAAAUCUAAAGCGUGCCAAAAUAUAUUGCAUAAAAAUGGCAAAUUUAUACGAAUAUGCAAAGAUUGGACAGCACAAUGGCUUGGGUAGCAUCCUAUGAUAGUCGAUAGCAAAUCAGCAACCUAAAACGUUACAUCUUCAUUGAACUGCAAAAAGUAAUAAAUGCAAAAGACAAUGAUCCAUGAAAAUAAUUUAAGACAGUAGAGCAAUGACAGUGCCGUCAUCAUCACUGUCACUGUUAUUUUCUCAUCAGUAUCUCUCUGUCAUGCCUUUUUGUAUAUUUACUUAUCUAGGCAAAAACUAGUAAACACCAGAGGUUUUCCUUUAUUUUUAAAGCAGGUUUUUUUUACAAUAGUUUAAGCACCCAUAAAUUCUCUCUCUCAAACAAAAAAAUUUAUAUUCUAUAAGUUUACCAGGAGUAACUGGAUCGUCCAACUUCUCAAUUCGUUUACAGUUGCGAAGGGUGAUGGACACAUCACCCUCAGAGGACUUGAGCAUCACUACACCAGGGCAGUCAAGUAAUUUCACCUUCUUAUCUAACUGGAUUUCUUGCAUCGAUUUGGUGACUCCUGGGGUCGCACCGACGUUAACUACAUGGGAUCUCUUCAAACUGUUGAUCAGACUGCUCUUUCCAACAUUAGGAAGCCCAACAAUACCCACAGUAAUUGACAAUUUGAGCUGUCAUGCCAAAUUAGACAAUAUAAUAAUUAGAAGUUAAGUGGAAGGCAUCGAUAUCUAAAUAGAAGAUUGAGCCAAAUAAAAAUAAACGUUUUGCAGAUGAAAUUAUGCCCCACAGAAGAGAAAAUCUUAUCCUUUUUAUAUACUCAAUGGGCAUCUAUUUAAUAUACUAUUCAAAUUUCUUAUGUUGCACGAAGAAAAUUGCUAACAACUUAGGUUUAAGUCUUGGGCCAAAACUAGAAUAUUUGAUGCCUUCUCUUAACUGAGAUGUGAGAACCUUAAGCAUCAGAGAAAUAGGGCUGUUUGACCAGAUGUUGUAUAGCUCAUUGUGAUCGAAUUAAUUGCUGCCAUCAAUGAUGGCAUGUGAAGCUAAAAAGUUGUCUUUAUCAAGUAAAAUAUUUGUCGGAUAUCAUUAGUAAUUUAAUUCAUGAAUAGGUUUCUAAAUGUAAAUAGUUGAGCAUGCCAAACACGGUUGCACAUUCCGCGGAAAAUAACCAACAAAUGGUUAUACAGGAUGAGAUCAGAAACAACUUUUAAGCUGCAAAUUGAACAUUCCCCAUUCGGUCCAUAUUAACUAAACAUGCAUGAAAUGAUUUAAUUCACCCAAGUGAAAAAAGAAUGGCUUUUUGUCACCUCGUGGCUUCUAGUAUAAUUCUUUAACAAUUUGAUGAGAGUUUCAGCACCAAGGCAAUCACUUGUUUGAAGAAGAUUGCUUGAUUUGGAAGCCUUCGAAGAUUUCCACCCCAAAUUUGAUCGCUGCUCCUGUGUACUACACUUGAAGGCUACUGUCGGCAAUUCUUCUCUUAGAUAUGUGAGCCAUUUCUCCACUGCUUCCCUAGGAACAAGAUCUACAGUACAUACACAAAUAAAAAAUCAUAAAUAAUGAGAUUGGGCACUUUUGAUUUAACACCAUAAAAGCGACUGAAAAGGCAUAGAUCUUAAUUGAACAAUUGUGCAAUUUAAAAUGGGUGCUGAACUUCGAAAAUUUUGAUUUUACGGCCUAAAUUUAUUGAACUUUUGAUUUAAACCACCGCAGUCAGAACUUGAGGGCAUCUUUUCUACUUUUAAAACAAAUAUUCUAUAUCCUAAUAAAAUAUUCCAUUACUUGUCAGAACAUUCUAUAAAUUCUCUGUUUCUAAAAUCGAAAAAUAGUAAAAAGUUAGUGAGUAAAAUCAAAAUUUAUAAGGUAUAAUGCCCCAUAUUAAUAUACUCUAUAGUUAAGGAAAGGUCUUAUACAUUUUACCAAACAAUUUUAUGAAUGUUUGUAUUAAUACAACAACAAAAAUUGAUAUUGUAUCCAAUAAACUUGAAUUUUUUUAAAAACAUCCAGGUUAAGUGAGUACCUAUUUUGUUCAGAAGCAAUAUAAUGCGCUUAUUUGGAUCCGCCUUCAAUAUCAUCUUUUCCAUGUCAAGACAACGAGUACCAAGUGGAUCCCUUGCAUCAAGAACCUCAAGGAUUACAUCUGAUGCUUCUAUAACUUUUACCAGCUCCUUGUAGAAAGAUCUCUCAGAAUGGUCUGCUAGAAAUGUACCAAUUAAUUCAGAAAAUAUUGGAAAUGGAAGAGAUAAGGCUAUGGUCGAAAUUCUAUUACUCCAAAGCUUAAUUACCAUGGCUUUUGCCCACAACUGAAUUAUCAUCUGCUUUACUCUUCUUUGCAAACUCAUGCUCUUUGGCAGAAGCUUCGGAAGCAAAACUGGUCAAUUCACUAUCCUCUUCAAGUAAACCAAGUUUCCGCUUCUUAGCCUGCUUGUUUACAAAAUUGCAUCCAUAAUAUAAUAGUACUACAAUGCAAGUUCAUGGUAAACGCAUACAAAAACCAAAAUACAACAAGCAUGCAGUUCUGGCACUACUAACAAACAGAAACGGUAUAAGCAUUCUAAUCCAGCUAGCAAAAAAAUCUGGUGAAUAUAUCAAUAUCUAAUAUGCCAUCAAGGUCAUAACAUUUAUGGUGAAAGCUUUUUUUCCCAGACAAAAUUAAUCCUCAAAACAGACAAUUUGGCAUGAACCGUCAACCACCAACCUUCUUAGUCUGUAGGUUGGUAUGCAUUCAUGUAUGCUACAUGAGCUCAAGAUGAUUUGAGUAGUUCUUUUCAGAUUUACCCGGAAAAAAAAUUUCUAUAUGGUUUCCUGCUGCAUAACCUAAAAUAGCUGAUACCAUCUAUAAACCAUUCCAAGAAAUAAGAAAUUAUCCAGCAGACAUUGUCAAGUUCCUACUAGCAAUCACAAGUUUCCAACUACAAGAUAUUAAACUCAGGUUCUGUUUGAAAUCUGUAUCCGCUAACAACCCAGUUUCAGAGACAUAAUCGCAAAAUUCUAAAAUUACUUUGACAGCCUCCUUCCAAGUUCUCUCUCUUUAACUCCCCCUGUAUCACAGUUUGAGCAGCUUCCAGGCUAUAGGAAAUUAGGAAUUCCAACUUGCUGUUGGCCAAUAGCUAAGCAAAAAACAAAGCAUAGAUCAAAUGCUUAGGCGCAUUAUCCAAUCAAUUGAUGUUAGACAAAGCAAUUACGAAGAACCAAAGAUUAAAGUGAUGUGGCACAGGUUGUGCCGAAAACUUGCUUGCACCGUAGGGCACCGCCAUGCGUGCCGUGCGGUGCUACGUUGGACACCAAAAAUAUUUCUGUACUGACAUAUAAUGGCAUAAAAUAUUUAUCUUUUUGGCACCAAUAUGUUCUAAUCGUUGUCUUUAUUAAAGCUUUUGAGCAAAUAUCUCUGUAUUGACACAUAAUGACAUAAAAUAUUUAUCUUUCGGGCACCAAUAUGUUCUGAUCGUUGUCUUUAUCAAAACUUUUGAACUUCACUGAGGUAAACGCUAAUUUCAAAACAAAAAAAAAGAGAGUUUGAGUCAUGUCAUCAGCACGGAGGUCAUAUUGUGCCAAUUUUUUAUUGGUACAGUUGGUACGGCCUGUACAGAUGGGCACUUAAACACUUGUGAAGAACUAGUUGAGCAUCUAAUGAUGACAUGGAUCCUAGCUACAACACAUUACCAUCACGAUAUCAUAUUCUACGGAAAGAAGAACAAAUAAAAAUGAAUAAUAAUGAAGAUCACUUCUUUCCCAAAAAAAUUACUAACUUUAAGCACAAGAAGAGAUUUUGGGAAGCAAGUACCCUCUCUUUGCGAGCGGCCUUCUUCUGCUCCAGCUCCUCCAACGCGCGCUCUCUCCGUGCUUCCAGUGCUUUGAGCUCCUGUUCCUUGAAAGGCCAAUCAUUGGGAAUGCCGGGGUCCUUCUCGACCUUCUUCCUAUUGUUCAGUCCAAGCUUCUUAGCUUCCUUCGCCUUCUUUUUGUGGUGCUCCUUCACCUUCCGUAACACCUUGUACUUCUUUUUAAGAGAAAUCCUCUUACUCUUGCUCUCUAAAUGACCCAAAAAAGAAUACCCCACCCCCAAUAAAAUAAAUUAUGUUAUGUGUCAUCAAAUCAAAGAACUAGGAAAGUAACUUUUUUUCCUUUUUUUGAGGUACUGAGCAAGCGCUUACUUUUGCUCUUUUUCACCAUCUAUCUUCAAAUCCUCUCAAGCUUACCUGAAGAUGCAAAAAUGAAAAUGAGAAUUCAUUUAAUAUUAAGUUUGUAAUCUCAAAUCUCAAAUUAUUUCAAUAAUAAUAACUAUAAGCAAAUCCGGUAAUUUGAUGUCGGACUAAGGGUGAAACAAGAAAAGUAAACAAUGGACACAUCAGCUCACGAUUUGCUUCUUGUGUUAGGUGCUGUUUUAGGCAAAAUUUAGGAGAUUAUCUGUUAUGGAGGGAGGGAGGAAGAUGAGGGGGGAGGGAAGGCAGCAGCACGAACUUGCUGUGGUGGAGGUGGCUGACGGGGGCUGGCGGCGGUCAGACAGCGGCGAGGUGGGGGCCGACGGAGGCUGGCGGCGGUCAGACAGCGGCGAGGUAGAGAAGAAGAUGGUGCUGGCGGGCGAAGACGGUAGCGGAGAUUGAGGAGGGGAAAGGGGAAGGGGACGCCGGCACAGAGCGGCGGGCAGGCUUGAGACUGGGGGAAGAAAUUAGGGUUUGCUAGGUUUUAGAUUUAAUUUCGUGUGUAUAUAUAUAUAUAUAUAUAUAUAUAUAUAUAUAUAUAUAUAUAUGUACUAUAUUAUCAGGUCAGCCGCUACUAUGCUAUCGGUAGCACGGAGCUGUUCCGUGCUACAAGUUGUGUUUCGAUGAUGCGACUUCCAAAUCGACGAUCGGCUCCGUUAGACUUGAUCUACAUAUAAAAGUAUUUGGAAACUAAGAUUUCAGAUUUUUUCUACAUCAUUUGACUAGUGAUCAAAAGAUCUCAAAAUUGACAAUUUUAAUGGCCGAUGUGAUGUGUUUGUGAGAGUUUUACAGUGUAAAACAAUUCAAAUGCAAUGAAAAUUUUAUAGAAAAUUCUUUUCACUAUUUAGAGUAAGAUCAGUAUAUCUGAUCUUGAAUUUAAAUCUUUUAUCAUCAUUUUUUAUGAGAUUUUUAUUUUCAUCCGUUCAAUUUUAGACUACUUGUUUGAUAGGUAAAUGAUAUCGAAAAAUUAUGAAAUUUAGUUUCUAAAUAUUUUCAAUAGUAUAGAUCAAGUCUAAUGGAGCCGAUCCUCGAUUUGGAAGUCGCAUUAUCGAAAACAACUUGGUAGCACGGAGCGUUCCGUGCUACCGAUAGUAUAGUAGCCUAGUUCAUCCUCGAUUUGGAAGCCGCAUCAUCAAAAACAACUUGGUAGCACGGAGCGCUCCGUGCUCCCGAUAGUAUAGUAGCCUAGUUCUAUAUAUAUAUAUAUAUUAAUUUUUAAAAUUAAUUUUUCAAAAUUAUUUAAUAAGAAAAAACUCUUAUCUUCAUCCCUAGGCAGUCGUAAUUCCCUAUUUAGGGGCUCGUUUGGCCUAACUUUUGAAAAAGUAAUUUGUGAAAAAUAAUUUUAGUUUGGAGAAGUGAUUUUGGUUAAAAGCUGUAGAGUAUUUGGCUGACUUUAAAUUGCCCACCUGUGGUUUCGUUUUUAUCUUUUCGGUAGUUUUUUUUGUUAAUAUUUCAUUAAAUUAUAUACAAAAAACUUCGGAUACCCAUCUAGAUUUAUCAAAUAUUCACUUUAGUACCCUUUAAUUUUAACUUUAUCACUGAUUUAAGAAAAAAAAAUAAUAAAAUUGAUAAGAAAAGGAGAAAAAAGAAACCACAGGGGGAAAAACUGAUACAUUUUAAACCACAGGGGGGCAAAGUGAGAAACUACAAAACCACAGGUAGGGCAAAGUGAGAAACUGCGAAACCACAGGGGGGUUUUUUGAAGUUUUUCCUUAAAAAUAUAAAUAAUUAUGAAAUCUAAAAUAUAAAAUUUUAAUAUUUAAAAAUAUAAUUUUAAAAUUUAAAUUUUAAAGUUAAAAUUUAAAAUUUUGAAAAAUUUAAAAUUUAAAAUUUAAAAUAAUUAUUAAGUAUAAAAUAUAAAUUUUUAAAAUUUGAAUGUUUAAAAUUUAAAAUUUAUAAUUUGAAGAUUAAAACUUGUAAUUUAAAAUUUCAAAAUUUCAAAUUUUUAAAUUUAAAUUUUAAAAUCUAAAAUGUCAAAUUUUAAACUUUAUCUUAAAUUUGAAAUUUGAAAUUUAAAAUUUGAAAAUUUGAAAUUUGAAAUUUAAAAUUUGAAAUUUUGAAAUUUAAAAAUUAAAAUUUUAAAAUCUAAAAUUUGAGAUUUGAAAUUUAAAAUUAAAAUUUAAAAUUUAAAGUUUGAAAUCUUUUUUUCAAAUUUUAAAAUUUAAAAGUUAAAAUUUAAAAAUUUAAAAAUAAAUUUGAAAAUUAAAAUUUAAAAUAUUAAAUUUAAAUUUAAAUAUUGAAUUUAAAAUUAAAAUAAAAUUUUGAACUUUGAGUUCAAAAUCAGAAUCAGAUUUUAAGAAGCAGUUUCUUUAUGUUUCUGAUUCUGGGGCUUUCAAAAUCAGUUUUUUGAUUCUAAAAAGUAGAAGUAGAUUUUAAAACUGAGGUUGUCAAACGCUCUAUUGGGCUGAAAAUUAAUUUUCAAUCCAAAAGCGCUUUUUAAAAGCUAAGCCGAACACCCCUUUAGUUUUCACCAAUAUCUCAUAAAUUUUUAUUGAAAAAAUAAAUAUUUCAUAGUAUAUAAAUAUAAAUUACAAAUGCUGCAGUUAGCUCUCUUAUAUAUAGUAUGAAGGUCUGGCAUAGUCACGCUGAAGAAAUGAACUUUCGUUCCCACCAAAAAUAAGAAAACUACUGGAACUAGCUAAAACAUGAAAAAAACACACAUACACACACAACUAGUGUGAAUUUGUAAACCAAAACAUGCAAAAGUAUAUAUAUUCUAGAAAAAACUUCAAAAAACCACUAUGUGAUUUCAUACUUUUUCACUUUAGCAUCAUGUGGUAUAAAGUGUAUAAGUUAGCAUCUUGUGGUUUCGCACUUUCUCACUUUAGUACCAUGUGGUUUAAAGUGUAUCAAGUUAGUACUCUGUGGUUUCAUUUUUGUAUCGAGUUAGUAUCCUGUGGUUUUAUUUUUUUGUUUCUAUUAUCCAUUUAGGGGUAUUUUUUCGCUAAAUCAAUGACAAAGUUAAAAGUAAACGGUACUAAAACGAAUAUUCGAUAAACCUAAAUAGGAUAUCUAAAGUUUUUUAUAUAUAAUUUAAUGAAAUAUUAAACCACAUGAUACUAAAGUGAGAAAGUGUGAAACCACAGGGUACUAAAUUGAUACACUUUAAACCACAUGGUACUAAAGUGAAAACUUGGUACUAACUUGAUACACUUUAAAUUACAGGGUACUAAAGUGAGAAAGUGCAAAACCAACGCGGGGUAUUUGAAGUUUUCCCUAUAUUCUAUAUUUAAAUUUAAAAUUUAAAUUCUAAUUACUUUUUAAAUUAUUUUAUUUCUGUAUUUUGUUUUCUUUACUUUAGUUUGGAUCAGUAAUAGAUGUUCGAGUCUCAUCGCUUCCGAACGCAUAUCAGUUCACCCAACAUUUUAUCAAUUACAAAUUUUGACUAUAUCAAAUUUUCUAAAAUCAUUCAAUAUUAUUAUAGUUUAAACUAUAUUUAAUUUAAUUACUUGAUUAUUCUGUAAAGUUUAAUUUAAUAUUAUUUAGUUAUGUUUCACAUUUAGGCUUCAAUAUUAAAAAAUUAGUUUCUCUAGUAAAUUUUAGAUAUUUAGUUUUUUAAUGUCUAUUUUUUUUUACUAUUUAAAUAUUUUAUAUUUAAUAACCAUCCGGUGCAUGGAUUGGACUAUAUUUGGGUUCAUGUACAAAGCCUAGAGACUUUCCCUUUCAAAAAAUUUAAAAGUUCAUAUAUUUUAUCUUAAAUUCAAAUUAAAUAAGAUAAUGAAAAUAUAUUAGAAUAAAGAUAAAAUAAGACAACAAUAUAUUAAAAAAAAAAGUAUUUAUCUCACAACCUGAAUAUAGUAGAUUUAACUUAUGAAUAUAUAAAAUCCGAAUAAAAUUCAGAAUAAAUUUCAAUUUUUAAUAUAUACAACCUAACUAGAAUUUCUAAUUAAUAACCAAUAAAUAAAACUCAUUGCUGAAAAAAAUAAAAUAUUUUUUUAAAAUAUUUAAAUAAGUCUACAAAAUAAAUCUAAUUUUUGUAUUCUAAAUAGCAACUUCAAAUCUGUGAAAUAGAUAUAGUUUACUAUUUUAUUUAAGUUAUAGUAAAACCAGGCUAGAUUUUGAAUUGAUCAUAUUUAUCCUCAAUUCAAAUUAAAUUAAAAGCUAAAAUAUUAUAAAAAUAUAUUAGAAUAAAGAUAAUGUAAGAUAAUAAUAUAUUUUAAAUAAAAUAAGUUUUCACUUUUUAAUUAGACUAGAUUUUGAUAAAUUUGCUAUAAAUCAACUAUCAACUAAUCAGAUAACUCUGAUUAGUGCAAAAUCCUAUACCGAAAAUAGGAUCUUCUGGCAAAAAUUUCUAAUUCUGAGGAAGUUGUAAUUAAAUUUUGGACUUUUUCCCAAAACGAUCCUAAAAAAUUUUUUAAUUGGGUAAACAAUUCUAUAAUUUUUUUUUUUUUUGACAAACUAAUCAUUCUUUUGCCAUAUAUUAGCUAUAUUGGAAUUUUCUCUUAAAAGACGAUGAAUGAUUCACCAUUCUCGGUUAACGAUUCACUGCUUUCCUAAUUUUUCACAAAAGCGGUGGAUCGUUCAUUGUCUUUUACUUAUUUACUAUUUUUUCUAUAUUCCAAUCCUAAUAACCACAUAAAUAUUUCAACAAAUCAUAUAUAAUCUUAACAACCUGAAAAUCCUAAUAAUCGAUUCAUACAAUCCUAACAAUUAAAUCACAUAUAAAUUUGGCAGAAUUAUUUCACAAAUUAUAAAAUUUUAGAGGAUUGUUUUGUCAAAAAAGUCCGUAAAUUUCAAUUAGAACUAUCUACGAGACAAACACAAGCGAGCCAGACCGGCUCAAAAUUAUUAGAGGCUGCCUCGUGUUUGGCUCGAGCUCGCGACGAGCUGGAAAACCCUAGUUUAUGAUCGGAUUGCAAUUUAAUGAGCUAGCUCAUAUUUGGUUCGUUUAUUAAAUGAACGGUUAAUUCAAUCGCAAGCGCAUUACAUGUUGAAUAUAUAAGCCUAUUUGACUAGAUUUUAAAUUCAUCAUAUUUUAUUUUGAAUUCAAAUUAAAUUGGAACUAAUAAAAUUAAAUCGCAAGUACUUCUUCCUCUAUUUUAUUAUCAUUAUUAUCAACAUUAUUAUUUUAAAAGAAUUUACUUGCACAUCUUAAAAGAUGUGUAAAUUUUAUACUUCUCAUCUUAGGAUUCAUAAAAAUUUGGAUAAUUUUUAAUAAAAUCUAAAAACUUGAUGUCACUAAGUAAAGAAUGAUAGCGAUUGAAUAAAUUAUUAUUUAACUCGAUGUUCAUGAGCCAGCUCGUGUUCAGCUCGAAACAAGCUCGAUAUCUAUCGCUUGUUUAAUAAAUGAUCAAACUCGAGCUGAAUUUUUCACCUCGAAUUUUUUAUGAGCCGAACACGAGCUAAUUAGAUUAACUCGUUUUUUUUCAGCUCAAUAUAGCUAAAAAAUAUUUAUUACAAAUUUUUACUAUUUGGAUUUUAGGCUAACUCAAAAAAAAAAAAAAAAUCUACAUUGUGUGAAUUUAAUUAUUAGAUUAAAAAUCUAUUUUUUUAAAUUUUUUUCUAAUUUUUCACCCAGCGGUAAAACUGAUAAUCUAACUUAUUGUUCAUAAGCUAGCUCGUGUUCGGCUAGUUAAUAAAACAAGCCAAAUACGAGCUGAAUUUUUAAAUUCAAUAUUCUAAAUGAACCGAACACGAGCCGGUCCGAGCUCGCCCGUGUUCGGCUCAGGUUUACAGUGCUAGUCGAAAGUAUAAAAUAACCUAGGCCUAUUUUGCUCCGAGGUUUAUUUCAGAAAAAAGUUUUCACGCAGAUACAAUACAAUGUUUUCGUGCAGAUAAAAAAAAAAAUAAAUAUAUAUAAUUCGGCAAUGUUUGGUUGGAGAAUAAAGUGGGGGAUAAAAGAUAGACGUCCUCGCUAUCUAGGAGGGGCGAGAACGAGAUCUCAGUGAUCAGACACCGAUUUCUGACGAAAACACCCACUAAUUUUGUUAUAAGCAGCAGUUUAUCAUACAAAGUGUCAGAUUUAAAUUCACUUCUAUACUAAAUCGUUGAUUUUAUCGGCUAUUCGAGCCCUUUUCUCAGAACAAGCAAGUUGCUUAGUUUCUGCAACAGGAUCAGAAAUCAAUCUGCCUCUGAUGAAACUUCAGAAGCUUCAAUUUUUGCGGCUGCAGAGCAAUGCUUUAAGAAGAUAAGCUCAGUGGAUCAAACCACCUGCAUAAAUAUAAGUGAGACCAUGCAUCAUUGGAUCAGCUUAUGCUUCCCUGUGGAAUAUAUAAGAAAAGAGCACUAAAUUGCAAAUUUUGAGUCCAAAGUUACGUUUUGUGAGGAAGUGCUUCUCAGAGGUAGAACAGGAGAUUCUCCUAAAAGUCAAGAUCUUCGUGUGGUUGGUACUGAAAAGAAGGGUGCUCACCGCGGACAACCUCCGAAUACGGGGUUGGAAUGGCGAGGAAUGCUGCGUUCUCUGUCUCAACGAGAGUGAGACUGUGGAUCACUUAUUCAUGAAAUGUGAUAGAGGGUUUUAUCCCCAAUAAACUAGCUCUUUGUAUUUGUAAUACUGCCAAUUCGCUCUGGGAUGGGAGCCGGCAUAAAAGUGGAGUGCUGGGUGGAAGGGAAUUAGCGACAGUUGCCACAACGUGGCGGGUCAUUUGGUUGGAGCAGAAUAGAAGAAUUUUUCAGAAUUCUAAACAAACAGCAGGUGGCUUAGUGACUGAGAUACGCGCACUUAGGAACAUUUGGAAUCCUUUUUGUUAAUUUUUUUUUCUCCUAAAAAACAAAGGCCAAAAUUCAUACUUCAAAUGAAUGAAGCGAUAGCAUACUAAUAAUUCUAAAAGAAAAAAAAAAGGCAAAACAGGGGAAAUUGUAUAUAUUUCAUCCAAUAAAAUUGUCACCAGAGUUUGUGGAACAAUCAUAUCAAAGCCAAUUACAGUUGACAUUUGAUAAACAUCUAAAGAGAUCAAGGAUAAAUAAAUAAAUAAUGAUGAAAUAUUAUGCAGCAAGAGAGAGAGAGAGAGAGAGAGAGAGAGAGAGAGAGAGCAAUGAUAAAUUUCUACAACCUCUCUUCCUAUGUAAAUUAAAUUAACACUUAAACAAACUAUUUCCAAAACAAAAAACAAAAAGAAAGCAAUUAAGAACACUUACUGUUGAUUCCAACAGAGUGAUUCUCCAACACCUAAACAUGCAACAUAUUCAUAGUCAAGUGCACCAGAUUCAAUGAUGCAGAGAUCCUCCAGCAGGGCCUCAUACCGCCGCCGCGCGUCCUCCGCGCUCUUCUCUCUUCCGACCAUCGACGCGAUCUCCGCCCACCGGUCAGGGCUCCGCUCGUCGACCGCCGCCAGCGCGAGCUCGAACCGCUUGUUCUCCUCCCAGCUCCAGCUACUACUGCUGCUGCUGCUGCUUGCAGCACUGGCACUUGCACCAUCUUGAUCACUAUCUUCCAUUCUCAUAAUCUUUAUUCUUUGCACUACUGCAAGCAACAAAAAGUGUUACAACCACACACAAGAGGAGGAAUAUAAUUUGUUAUCACUCUUUGGCAAACAUAUAUGAAUGAAUGGUGUUUUGCUUUUGGCAAAAAAUUAUAGGGUUAAUUGCAUUCAGAUUCCUACAAAUAUAGUGAAUUGCAAAUAUAUCCUUAUAAAGUUUAACUUUCAUAUGUUGUCCCUGCAAAAGUCCUGACGUUUUCAAAUAUGUUCAUACCGUUAGAAUCUGUUAGAAUAGUUAGUUAAUGAGAUGAAUUGACCUUUUUACCCCUCUUUAAUUAAUAGUUGAAAUUUUUGAAGGGAUAUAUUUGUGAUGGUUAAAAAAUCAUUUCACUUAUAAAAUAGAUAGUGAUUUAACGGUAAUAAAUCAGAGGGACAUAUUUGAAUACAUUAGGACUUUUAUAGGGACAACAUACGAAAGUUGAACUUUGUAUGAAUAUAUUUAUAGUUCACUAUAUUUACAGAGAUCUAUAUGAAAUUAACCCAAAAUUAUAUGUAGGCACUGUCAAUGUGACGCCUCACUUUUCAAAGGGUCAUCCAUCCUACAACUAUUCUAGUCUUAGUACAUUUAACUAUCUUAACAUUUUUGGUUUAGUCACUGCCUAAAUACUAUAGUCGGAUUAAGAAUUUUUAGUUCUAUUAUAUAUUAGAUAGAAAAUUAUCUACGGUCUCACACUCAAACUCUAUAUAUCUUUCUUUUUCUUAUGUUGAGUUUUUUAUCUUAAUCUUUUUUCUUUUUUUUUUUGAGUGGUAGGGAAUUAUCCAGGUAUCACCUUUCAUUCAAAAGUCUAACCAUUUAUGGAUCAUUGGACAUGAAAAUUAAAAAUAAAAUCAUACUAAAUAUAGAAGAAUCAUACCACAAUCUGAUCAAAAGGAGUAGAAUAUUCAAAAGAGUGCUCUAUUUGUGUCUUUUUUUUAAUACUUUGAUUCCCUAAGAUACUACUCUACACCUCAUACCUAAUAUUAUUAUUAUUAUUAAUUAAUUAAUUAAACAUUAAUUAUGGCAAGUAGUAGACCUGGAUAAUAUAAAAAUUAGCUUAAGAAUAAUCUACACAAUAAUACCCAAACUUUAUAUCUUCUCAUUGAUGUAAUACCCAAAUUCUAUGGGUAAUGAUCCACACACAAAAAUCUCUUCUGCAUCUAACAUGUGACGAUUGGACGUUACAGACUCUUCCUAUUUAGAUUCUCAUGCGCUCAGCAGACUCAACUAUAUAAAUAAUUCAAUAUUACCAGGCGAUAUAAGAUACAUCUAUGCUUCCGGCAAAUAAUAUGACUUUGAUAUCAAAUGUAACGACUCAGCUCAUUAAUGUUAACAACUUCGACUUAAGUUCUUUAGGUUAGUA